Molecule: ribosomal RNA, 426 nt
Filed under: uncultured bacterium
Lineage: Bacteria
Description: bacterial SSU rRNA
Rfam family: Bacterial small subunit ribosomal RNA
Source: RNAcentral
UGGGGAAUUUUGGACAAUGGGCGCAAGCCUGAUCCAGCAAUGCCGCGUGUGUGAAGAAGGCCUUCGGGUUGUAAAGCACUUUUGUCCGGAAAGAAAUCCGUCUGGCUAAUACCCGGACGGGAUGACGGUACCGGAAGAAUAAGCACCGGCUAACUACGUGCCAGCAGCCGCGGUAAUACGUAGGGUGCGAGCGUUAAUCGGAAUUACUGGGCGUAAAGCGUGCGCAGGCGGCUUUGUAAGACAGAUGUGAAAUCCCCGGGCUCAACCUGGGAACUGCAUUUGUGACUGCAAGGCUAAAGUGCGUCAGAGGGAGGUGGAAUUCCGCGUGUAGCAGUGAAAUGCGUAGAGAUGCGGAGGAACACCGAUGGCGAAGGCAGCCUCCUGGGAUGACACUGACGCUCAUGCACGAAAGCGUGGGGAGCAAAC